Molecule: unclassified non-coding RNA, 292 nt
Filed under: uncultured Ascomycota
Lineage: Eukaryota; Fungi; Ascomycota
Description: sequence contains ITS1
Rfam family: 5.8S ribosomal RNA (bases 1-105)
Source: RNAcentral
GAAAUGCGAUAAGUAAUGUGAAUUGCAGAAUUCAGUGAAUCAUCGAAUCUUUGAACGCACAUUGCGCCCCUUGGUAUUCCGGGGGGCAUGCCUGUUCGAGCGUCAUUACAACUCUCAAGCUCUGCUUGGUAUUGGGGUUCGCGGUUUCGCGGCCCCUAAAAUCAGUGGCGGUGCCUGUCGGCUCUACGCGUAGUACUACUCCUCGCGAUUGAGUCCGGUAGGUUUACUUGCCAACAACCCCCAAUUUUUACAGGUUGACCUCGGAUCAGGUAGGGAUACCCGCUGAACUUAA